UAUUAUUCAGCUUAAAUGUCAUGAAACUAUUAAGUGGUGCUACCUAGUGUCGGCUUGGCAACAUUGUCGUCUGUCGCAAAAUACAGUUUAGCGCCACUCUGCGCAGCGACGAAACGCUGAAACCAGUGAACAAGUUACAGACGAGACAUUAAUUGCGAGACAUUCGUCCGAGGAUAUUGCAUUACAAACGAAGUAAUACAAACGAGAAACGCUUUUAUUCACCGCCGGCAUUUAGCUUUUAGCUGUAAAUACGAAACCAAGGUGGCGCCACCGGCACCAUUAUUCACCAUUAUUCUUCAUUUUGCGAGCGACACCAGCGUGGUUCCGGCGGACUGGUGAAGCGGUUAGGUAAAUUGAUUACAUACUAUUUGUGUAGUAAAAUACGACGGAAUACUAUUUACUAUUGUACUAUUUACUAUACUAUUCAAUAUUGUGUAGUUUCCUCUAUCAAAUUUCAUACACUUUUUACUACAUUUAGAUAAAAAUUGAUCCAAGAUUGCUGUAA
Megalopta genalis is the source of this 505-nucleotide non-coding RNA. Lineage: Eukaryota; Metazoa; Arthropoda; Insecta; Hymenoptera; Halictidae. The record is from RefSeq and is a predicted model, not a curated record.